CCUACGGGAGGCAGCAGUGGGGAAUAUUGGACAAUGGGCGCAAGCCUGAUCCAGCAAUGCCGCGUGAGUGAUGAAGGCCUUAGGGUCGUAAAGCUCUUUUACCAGGGAUGAUAAUGACAGUACCUGGAGAAUAAGCUCCGGCUAACUCCGUGCCAGCAGCCGCGGUAAUACGGAGGGAGCUAGCGUUGUUCGGAAUUACUGGGCGUAAAGCGUACGUAGGCGGUUAUUCAAGUCAGAGGUGAAAGCCCGGGGCUCAACCCCGGAACGGCCUUUGAAACUAGGUGGCUAGAAUCUUGGAGAGGUCAGUGGAAUUCCGAGUGUAGAGGUGAAAUUCGUAGAUAUUCGGAAGAACACCAGUGGCGAAGGCGACUGACUGGACAAGUAUUGACGCUGAGGUACGAAAGCGUGGGGAGCAAACAGGAUUAGAUACCCUGGUAGUCCACGCCGUAAACGAUGAUAACUAGCUGUCCGGGCACUUGGUGCCUGGGUGGCGCAGCUAACGCAUUAAGUUAUCCGCCUGGGGAGUACGGUCGCAGAUUAAAACGUCAAAUGAAUUGAACGGCUGAGACGUGCGAGACGACGACGAGGAGAGG
This 593-nucleotide ribosomal RNA is filed under the name uncultured bacterium. RNAcentral's name for it is "bacterial SSU rRNA". It matches the Rfam family "Bacterial small subunit ribosomal RNA", at positions 338 to 946 of the family's 1533-position model. The record is from RNAcentral.